CUUUUGUUUAGCUAAAAUCGGGCACCAUGAUGCCCUUGGUUGAGGGCCUGCCCUCUGGGACACCACAAAGUCAAUCUGUCCCCGUUCCACAUGACAGAUUCCACACUGUUGAAGACAGCACGUCCCCGGUGAGUUCGCUCUUUCCCUGGUUAAACACCCUGAUUUCUGAAAAACACAUCAGAGGAAGAACAGCCUGAGCGCCCUCGCUGACCUGUUUUGUCCUGUUGGUGCCCUUCAAUAUCCAUCUUCAAGUGUGACAGGAGCCAGCGCUGUUCUCCACAGGGCUUUGAGCCGGAAAGCAGGCCUGGGGUGAUCCAGAGGCCUGCAGACUGGUCUGCGUCAGUGUCCCUGGAAGCUCCUGCAGAGGCCCGGGCCCCAUUCUCAGAGAUUCUGGGUCACAAGCCUGAGGGGAAGCCCAGGUAUCUGCACUUUUAGGAAGCACUUCAUGGCCAGUUCUGUCGGCCAGCUGCUGUUCUAACAGGAAAGUAGAGAUGUGCUGAGCACAGAACUGAGCCCAUCGAGGAGUCAGGAACUUGUUUGCAAAUGAUGGGGACCCUGCUUGGGCAGCCCAAGCAAAUGACAAUGUGCUGGUGCAGGAGCUGCAAGGGAUUCUGGGAAAGCAGCAGGGACCCGGCCUUCGGGACUGGGUGGGGGACUCAAACCUCUUCUCUCCUCUUUUCUUGACUCACCCUGGAGUCAGACCUCUCGGGACGGUGAGGCUCAUGGCCAUGAGUAGCCCAAGUUCAUCCUCCCCCAGUGCAUCAACCUCUGGGAAAAGGCAUCCCUCCCUUUAGUAUCUUCAAAUUAAUUCUAGGGAAAG
This 820-nucleotide long non-coding RNA is filed under the name Marmota monax (woodchuck). The record is from RNAcentral. Lineage: Eukaryota; Metazoa; Chordata; Mammalia; Rodentia; Sciuridae.